RNAcentral lists this ribosomal RNA (451 nucleotides) under uncultured bacterium. Its description in RNAcentral is "partial 16S ribosomal RNA". It matches the Rfam family "Bacterial small subunit ribosomal RNA", at positions 28 to 507 of the family's 1533-position model. The record is from RNAcentral.
GAUGAACGCUGGCGGCGUGCCUAACACAUGCAAGUCGAGCGGCAGCGAGGGGUGCUUGCACCCUGUCGGCGAGCGGCGGACGGCUGAGUAACGCGUGGGAACGUGCCCCAAAGUGAGGAAUAACUGCCCGAAAGGGUAGCUAAUACCGCAUAUUAUCUUCGGAUCAAAGGAUUUAUCCGCUUUGGGAGCGGCUUGCGUCGGAUUAGGUAGUUGGUGAGGUAAUGGCUCACCAAGCCGACGAUCCGUAGCUGGUCUGAGAGGAUGACCAGCCAGACUGGAACUGAGACACGGUCCAGACUCCUACGCGAGGCAGCAGUGAGGAAUCUUCCACAAUGGGCGAAAGCCUGAUGGAGCAACGCCGCGUGCAGGACGAAGGCCUUCGGGUUGUAAACUGCUUUUAUAAGUGAGGAAUAUGACGGUAACUUAUGAAUAAGGAUCGGCUAACUACGUG